AUGUGUCGCUCGUACACGCCGGUUCCUGCGUGCUGGCCACGCCCACCUGACGACUGCUCGCCGCGUGUGGUCGGCC
RNAcentral lists this small RNA (76 nucleotides) under Xanthomonas arboricola pv. guizotiae. RNAcentral's name for it is "sX9 sRNA". It matches the Rfam family "Xanthomonas sRNA sX9". Lineage: Bacteria; Pseudomonadati; Pseudomonadota; Gammaproteobacteria; Lysobacterales; Lysobacteraceae. The record is from RNAcentral.